GAUGAACGCUGGCGGCGUGCUUAAUACAUGCAAGUCGAACGGACAGGCCCUGCUUUUGUUGCUUGCUCGAUUGGCGAACGCGUGAGUAACACGUGUGUAUCCUCCCCUUGUCUUUGGGAUAACUUCUGGAAACUCGGGCUAUUAUCCGAUAUAAGCUCCUGCUGCAUGGUGUUGGUUGGAAAGUUUCGGCGGUUCUGGAUCGACUCGCGGCUUAUCAGCUUCUUGGUGGGGUAGUGGCUUACGAAGCGUUUGACGGCUAGCCGGCCUGAGAGGGUUACCGGCCACAUUGGGACUGAGAGACGGACCAGAAUCCUACGGGAGGCAGCAGUGGGGAAUAUGACAGAAUGGGCGGAAGCCAGAGACAGCAACGCCGCGUGCGGGAUGACGGCCUUCGAGGUGUAAACAGCUUUGGACGGUGACGAAGCGUGAGUGACGGUAAUGAGUAAGGAAGCACCGGCUAACUACGUG
This 468-nucleotide ribosomal RNA is filed under the name uncultured bacterium. RNAcentral describes it as "partial 16S ribosomal RNA". It matches the Rfam family "Bacterial small subunit ribosomal RNA", at positions 28 to 507 of the family's 1533-position model. The record is from RNAcentral.